AUUUCAAUCAAAACCAAGUCGGUCAUGAAGAUAACGAAAUCACGGAUUCUACUGAAGAUGCUGAGUUGAUCGACGUCGCAAGUACACCUGUCAAGAUAGCUAUCACUGGUGCCGCGACAGUGGUUGAAGAAGAUCCAGUUGCACAGUUGUCUGGAAACAAGAUCAAAAGAGUAUUUAAGAAGAAGAAGAUAGCAUAAUGUGCUAGCAUAUGUAACCCUUGGAGAAACUAAAAAUUGCUUGCUUAUUUAGUUUGGUAGUUUCAUGAGUACUUAUGAACAUGUUUGAAUUAUUUCAUGUUUUUUCUGGUAUUGAAAUUCUGCUUUUUAGAUAGUUUGAUAUUUUCCUUAGUUAUCAAUGUGAUGUCUGAAAUGUUCUGAAAA
Long non-coding RNA from Lycium ferocissimum, 380 nucleotides. RefSeq lists it as uncharacterized. The record is from RefSeq and is a predicted model, not a curated record. Lineage: Eukaryota; Viridiplantae; Streptophyta; Magnoliopsida; Solanales; Solanaceae. The transcript is spliced from 2 exons.